UACGGGGGGGGCAAGCGUUGUUCGGAAUUACUGGGCGUAAAGGGCUCGUAGGUGGCCAACUAAGUCAGACGUGAAAUCCCUCGGCUUAACCCGGGAACUGCGUCUGAUACUGGAUGGCUAGAGAUUGGGAGAGGGAUGCGGAAUUCCAGGUGUAGCGGUGAAAUGCGUAGAUAUCUGGAGGAACACCGGUGGCGAAGGCGGCAUCCUGGACCAACACUGACGCUGAGGAGCGAAAGCCAGGGGAGCAAACGGG
Molecule: ribosomal RNA, 253 nt
Filed under: uncultured bacterium
Lineage: Bacteria
Description: partial 16S ribosomal RNA
Rfam family: Bacterial small subunit ribosomal RNA
Source: RNAcentral